UACGGAGGGGGCAAGCGUUAUUCGGAUUCACUGGGUUUAAAGGGUGUGUAGGCGGGCUAUUAAGUCAGUGGUGAAAUCUCCGGGCUCAACCCGGAAACUGCCAUUGAUACUAUUAGUCUUGAAUAUCGUUGAGGUAGGCGGAAUAUAUCAUGUAGCGGUGAAAUGCAUAGAUAUGAUAUAGAACACCGAUUGCGAAGGCAGCUUACUAAACGAUUAUUGACGCUGAGGCACGAAAGCGUGGGGAUCAAACAGG
Molecule: ribosomal RNA, 253 nt
Filed under: uncultured bacterium
Lineage: Bacteria
Description: partial 16S ribosomal RNA
Rfam family: Bacterial small subunit ribosomal RNA
Source: RNAcentral